ACACCACUAAUGUUUUGUGUAGUUAAAGAUGCUUCUUUCUGUGAUGAUUCUUCGCAUUUUUCAGGAUGAGGAAAUUAAUGAACUUAAAGAUCUUAUUGGUUCCUCUAUUUUGGAUUCAGAAGUUCAAGGUGGCUUGAGAUGGCCCUUUGGCAAGAUUUCUUCUGGUGGUCGAUAUGCUGUUAUUGGUAUUGGUCACACAACUUCAAAAUCAUAUAGAAAUUCAUCAAUUAGGUUUAAGCUUCGGCAUGCAGAUCAAUUUGAUUUCAGAUCUACGACUGGUGAGCUUACACAGGAGAUUUUCCUGAAAAUGCCUAGAAUUAUAUCCCAGUUACAAGUAGGUUCUCUUUUUCUGACAAGCAAUUACGUCACUAAUUUUUAUUUUAUGUUUUCCAUUUUUUGAUGUCUCUGCAUGAUACAUAAAUGUUGGUUUGGUGUUACUCGGAACCGUAUCAUAGUAAAAUUUUACCUUAUCAAAAAAAGAAAAAGAAACCAUAUAGUAAUUUUCUUCGCAUAAGCUUGGACUAUUGUAUCCUGCAUUCACUCACUGAUUAAUCCACCGAAUUGGGAACCAUUUCAUCCAAGAAAGCUAAAGCAAGGCGAACUUACCAACGAUUCAAAUCUGGUUUUGCUUCUACUUGGGUAGAAACCAUCCAAAAGUGAUUGUCUGAAAAGAAUUUAGUGAAUGGUUCAAACUUGCAUGUGCCACGGAAAUACAAACAAAAACAUGCAGUGCCUUUUCAUUGUUGAAUUGAUACGCCUUUCUGUUUUAUUUUCUGAAUUGCCGCUUUACUGCUGAAAUAAUUGAUUUGAUUUACAUCCUUGACCAAAAAUGCAUAUGCAAACAGUCGACGAAAGCCUUGUGUUUGAAUUGCUCGAAGAUAACCUGAAGUUAAUCUGGGAUCACUGUUUGUUGGAUGGUUCUUCAAGCUGACCGUGUUUUGUUGAAUGUUGUGGGAUGUAGAUUGUUGAGAUAAGAACUAGAGUUCGAACGAUAACACUGAAAUGUUAUUACACUAUGUAGUUUUGGAAUGGAAUGAACUGAGCAGGGCCUUGGAUGUUAGUAAGGAGCAUCGGUUUUUUAUUGUAAA
Lycium ferocissimum is the source of this 1088-nucleotide long non-coding RNA. RefSeq lists it as uncharacterized. The transcript has 2 exons. NCBI's taxonomy places the organism in Eukaryota, Viridiplantae, Streptophyta, Magnoliopsida, Solanales, Solanaceae. The record is from RefSeq and is a predicted model, not a curated record.